This 1044-nucleotide long non-coding RNA is filed under the name Eucalyptus grandis. Its description in RNAcentral is "long non-coding RNA (EGRA_LNC002934)". The record is from RNAcentral. Lineage: Eukaryota; Viridiplantae; Streptophyta; Magnoliopsida; Myrtales; Myrtaceae.
CUGCUUUUGUUUUAAUCUCUCUACCGUACGAAGCAAUCCCCAUCCAAUCUCUCUCCAUCUUCGUUACUUCUCUUCCUCAACCGAAGCCCACACACUCCGCUCACGCCAACCUCGAGAUCUUCAAUCAAGUUGCUUCUCUCUCGCGCUGCCACCGAAGACCCAAAGUCUAGCAUCUUCGUUCGUGCCUUGCCAACAGCCACGAAGACCUGCAGCCACGCCAACCAGUUGCUUCCUCGUCCAUGUGAAUUUCCCCGACGCCACGAAGACAGGAGCUGUUGCCGCGCCAGCACGCCCACCGACCCACUCAGCUUCUCCACGCAUCCAAGCUCGGCUUCUUCAGUCAACAACAACAACAAGCGAAGCCUUUGGUUGACCGAGCAGCCUUGCCUUGCUGCCACUUGGCAGCGUCUGCUCUUUGUUCGGUCAACAAAGCCGAGUUGAAGACCACCGAGCGAAGCUGCUUCUCCUCUUCGCCACGCCAAUUGAAGCCAGCGAAGUCUGCAGCAGUCAGUCCGCCCAUUUCUCCUCUUGCGUGUGUCUUCGGUUAGCUGAAGUCCAUGCGCCCAGCAACCGAGUCAACCGAAGUCGCACGCCAGCGAUGCCUAGUCCACCGAUCCUUCAGCAAGCCCACGCAAACCAGCAGCCAGCUCAGCCCACCUUCAGGCAAUUUCGGCCCAGCAAAGAGGUCAAGCCAGCCCAAGAAGCCAGUCCAGCUCAGCCCAUAUUCACAACAUCAGUUUGGCCCAAGUUCAAGCCUAGUUCAGUUGUUUUAGUCUUGAAGCCCAGGUCAACUCAGCCCCAAGAAUUUGAGCAGGCCCAAGCCCAAAGUUUCUGCGAGCUUGCUAGGUUUUAGGCCCAGCCCGAGAGUUCGUCGUUGCGUCGCCGUCGUGGUGAUUCGGUCUCUGCUUUUAUCAAGUGAGUUUUACUCACUAAUACUUUAUUAGUUUGCUAAUUAUGCUUAGGGUUGGUUAGAUUUAAUUAAGUGCAAUUAUGUGGUUAGAUUAGGUUAGAACAAUUAAAUUAGUGACUUAAUGAUGCAUGUUA